Molecule: long non-coding RNA, 2022 nt
Organism: Solea solea (common sole)
Lineage: Eukaryota; Metazoa; Chordata; Actinopteri; Pleuronectiformes; Soleidae
Exons: 6
Source: RefSeq, a predicted model, not a curated record
UCUUUAAGGAGUCUUCAGUCUUCACCCCUCGCGUGCUCAGCACAGCGGUGGCCAGAUAAAACUUUGCAGCUGGAGACAUGAGGGAGCUGUCGCUGCGAGAGGGCGACGUCGUGAAGAUCUACAGCGAGAUCGGAGGAGACCUGGGCUGGUGGAAGGGAGAGGCCAACGGACGAAGCAGCAGCAGGAAUCUGCUCAUCCCUGGAAGAAAACACCGGAACAACUCAUCCGCUCUGGCACUCUCUCCAUUUUUUCUUUGCUGGUGAAGGAAUACAUUUACUUUAGUUCCAGUGAAAUCGUGUCUUUGAGGCUGUGACUCUCAGACGUAGGCGUGUUGCCAUGCAACAAGACAGAACUUAGUGUAAAUGCACCCAAAUUAAAGCGUAGACGUCAGUCAGGUGUUUCUCUCCAGGAUUGUAAUGAUGUUUGUCCUACAUAAGAUUUUCCUAAAGUCAGUCAGACUUCUUUUGUUAUUUCCUUUUUUUUUUUUAUGGAACGUCAGGAAGUGCUUCCACUUUCUCUGUGGUUUGAACCUAAACAACAUUUGUCAUGUUGCCAGAUGAAAAGAUAAUGAGUCACAUAAAAGUAGGAGCUCACAUAUUCAGAAAUCAUCAUCGCUCUGUUGUUCCUCUCAGUUCACUCACACACUCUGUUGUAUGGCCUGCAGCUCUGUGUUUACUGUGAUUCGUCUCAGUUCUCACACUAAAGUCAAGCAGGAUUUUAAUAAAAAAGAAACCUGUGUUUCUCUGUGUAUCUGCUACAGAUGAUUGAUCAUUUCCCAAAACAAUAUGUGGCUGUUUUCAGAGAUGAUGCAGCUUUAACUGAAGCUUCUGUUCUAUCUGAACGUCGUCAUGUUUUAAUUCUAACUUACAGUAAAUGAUACGUUUAAAAACAACCUCAGCUGAACAACAGAAGCUUCAGUUAGAGCUGCAUCACAUCAGUGACAGUGUCGGUGUCAGUGAUGUCAUGUUUGAUACCGGAUGUCGUUGGAGAAAUCCUUCUCAUAGUCAAAUCUGUGUCUCAGUUCCAGAAGAGCAGCCCGAUGAAGACCAGCAGGAUGAUGAUGAGGAGCAGAGAACCCAUAUAUAUAGUGUAUAUAGUAUAGUAUACAUAGUGAUAUAUGUAUAACUGUUCAUUUCACCUAAAGAUCUUAACUGUGAGUUAUGGACAGAGGAUGAGGACAGAAGAGCUACUGUAUCAGGUCAUAACGUGCACAAAGACAUUAUAUUCAUCACCUGUGACUCACUGCUUUCUCUUUCAGUAUAGUUUCCUACUGUUACAUGUUACACUGUUACUGUGACUAACUGUUACAUUGUGACACUGUGACUGUUGCUGUUCGAUUUUCUCUUAGGUGUGUUUGCUCUCGGGUUGAUCCUGCAGUGUUCAGCUCCUACAGCGUUGUUCACCUCACAAACGUAGAUUCCUGCCAGACUCUGUUUGUCCUUAAACUGACCAGUGUCAGCUGGACAGGGAUUCAAACCGAUGACCUUUUCACUGUGAGGCACCAGUGCUAGCCACUACUCCCCCGUGUCCCCAAUUUGCAACUUCUUAGCAUCUGGUCCUUCUGUGUGGUGUCUGGACUGACCACAGACCAUUCGAUGUCGAGUUCUCCGGUGUCAGAAGGGCUCGGCUCGUAGCUGCUCUCUCCCUCGGCUUUCUGGAGCGUCUGUGGACCCGUGGAUGUCACCUGCAUUCCUGCGGCGCUUCGGAAUUCUUCAGAAAAACACAAAGUUUUAUCAGUCACAGAUUGUUCGGUGUCUACAGACGCCGCUUCCAAACGUGUGGAGACGGAAUUAAAGAGUGAGAGUGACAGUGAAGUGUCCACUGCAACAAGCUCCUCCUCUCAUCAUCAUCAUCAUCAUCAUCAUCACAAAGGCACCUGUUGGACGACACGCCUCCAUCUGAAGUCUGAACGCUGAGUGUGUUUGUGCUGCAGAUCAAACACAGGGUCGGGGGUCGGAGGUCGGAGGUCGGACUCUGUCCACGGAAACACCUGCAGCCACCGGUGUCCACCACUGGGACUUU